GGAUAACUCAGUUGGUAGAGCACAAGGCUCUUAACCUCUGGGUUGUGGGUUCAAGCCCCACGUUGGGCA
Podarcis lilfordi (Lilford's wall lizard) is the source of this 69-nucleotide non-coding RNA. NCBI's taxonomy places the organism in Eukaryota, Metazoa, Chordata, Lepidosauria, Squamata, Lacertidae. The record is from the annotation of a GenBank genome assembly.